AUGAAUGGUUUCUCCACUUCAGGAAGCAGGAACAUGCUCUAUCCAGAGUUUCCAGGACCUGGGGAAGACUUCUGUAAAAAUCCCAGUGCAAUAGGAUUAUACCAGCCCUCCAGACUGUGGCUGGAAAUCCUGAACCAAACAAAAAAAGGCUGCAGGUAAUGAUCAUGGAGUGCUUGAAGGGCAUCUGUCUGCCCUCAUCACAAAGUGAAUUGUAUGGGCCUCCAGGUGCUGUCUGAAGACUGUGAAUAUUUUUGCUGUUUCUGCAUCAACAAACCUUACAUUAUGGAAAGAUGAUAAAACAGAACAUGGAGUUCACCAAGCGAUGAUUUCAGGAAGAAAUGUAGUUAAAUUUUUUCCCAGCAGAUGUGGCUGUUGGA
This 377-nucleotide long non-coding RNA is filed under the name Lonchura striata (white-rumped munia). RNAcentral's name for it is "domestica (Bengalese finch) lncRNA (ENSLSDG00000007623.1)". The record is from RNAcentral. Lineage: Eukaryota; Metazoa; Chordata; Aves; Passeriformes; Estrildidae.